This 406-nucleotide ribosomal RNA is filed under the name uncultured bacterium. RNAcentral describes it as "partial 16S ribosomal RNA". It matches the Rfam family "Bacterial small subunit ribosomal RNA", at positions 29 to 526 of the family's 1533-position model. The record is from RNAcentral.
AUUGAACGCUGGCGGCAGGCCUAACACAUGCAAGUCGAACGAGGGGCGGACGUGUGAGUAAUGUCUGGGAAAGUGCCAGAGGGAGGGGGAACACCACUGGAAACGGUCGAAAAUACCGCAUAACAUCAGGUGUGCACAGAUGGGAUUAGCUUGGUGGGGGGGUAACGGCUCACAAAGGCGACGAUCCCUAGCUGGUCUGAGAGGAUGACCAGCCACACUGGAACUGAGACACGGUCCAGACUCCUACGGGAGGCAGCAGUGGGGAAUAUUGCACAAUGGGCGCAAGCCUGAUGCAGCCAUGCCGCGUGUAUGAAGAAGGCCUUCGGGUUGUAAAGUACUUUCAGCGGGGAGGCGUUACCCGCAGAAGAAGCACCGGCUAACUCCGUGCCAGCAGCCGCGGUAAUUC